CCAAAUGUUGCCUUUAAACACUCUUCCCUGAAGACCAUCGGGCAGUUCAGCUCUUUUGAUCAGGAACCGCCCAUCAUCCUUGCUGGGCCCUGCAGACAACGCUGUGCUUGGCUUCACCACAAUGCAGUGAUCCAGCGCACAGCACAUGCUCAGUAAGUCUCUGUGGCAGGAACUCCCACAGCAUCACCAUCCCUGCCUGAACCACACCUGUGCCUCCCAGGUGGUGCCUAUUAUAGCUUUGAGGAAAAGUUUCCUUUUCCUAAAGGAAAUCAACCCUGAAUAUUCAUUGGAAGGACUUAUGCUGAAGCUGAAGCUCCAAUACUCUGGCCACCUGAUGCGAAGAGCUGACUCUGAUGCUGGGAAAGAUUGAGGGCG
Molecule: long non-coding RNA, 375 nt
Organism: Bos taurus (domestic cattle)
Lineage: Eukaryota; Metazoa; Chordata; Mammalia; Artiodactyla; Bovidae
Source: Ensembl